CUCUUGGUAUGAACAUCUGUGUGUUCAUGUCUCUCUGUGCACAGGGGACGAGAGUCACUGAUGUCUGUAGCUGAGAC
MicroRNA precursor from Gorilla gorilla gorilla (western lowland gorilla), 77 nucleotides. The record is from Ensembl. NCBI's taxonomy places the organism in Eukaryota, Metazoa, Chordata, Mammalia, Primates, Hominidae.